CCUCCAGGGCAUCCUUAGUUACGGCGAGUGAAGCGGUAAAAGCUCCAAAUUUGAAAUCCUGGUACUUUCAGUGCCCGAGUUGUAAUUUGUAGAAUUUGUCUUUGAUUAGGUCCUUGUCUAUGUUCCUUGGAACAGGACGUCAUAGAGGGUGAGAAUCCCGUUUGGCGAGGAUACCUUUUCUCUGUAAGACUUUUUCGAAGAGUCGAGUUGUUUGGGAAUGCAGCUCAAAGUGGGUGGUAAAUUCCAUCUAAAGCUAAAUAUUGGCGAGAGACCGAUAGCGAACAAGUACAGUGAUGGAAAGAUGAAAAGAACUUUGAAAAGAGAGUGAAAAAGUACGUGAAAUUGUUGAAAGGGAAGGGCAUUUGAUCAGACAUGGUGUUUUUUGCAUGCACUCGCCUCUCGUGGGCUUGGGCCUCUCAAAAAUUUCACUGGGCCAACAUCAAUUCUGGCAGCAGGAUAAAUCAUUAAGAAUGUAGCUACUUCGGUAGUGUUAUAGCUUUUUGGAAUACUGUUAGCCGGGAUUGAGGACUGCGCUUCGGCAAGGAUGUUGGCAUAAUGGUUAAAUGCCGCCCGUUGAAAAAAAGGAAAAAAAAAAAAACCAAAAAGGGGAAAAAAAAAAAAAAAAAAAAA
RNAcentral lists this ribosomal RNA (630 nucleotides) under Hanseniaspora uvarum. Its description in RNAcentral is "partial 26S ribosomal RNA". It matches the Rfam family "Eukaryotic large subunit ribosomal RNA", at positions 65 to 664 of the family's 3401-position model. Lineage: Eukaryota; Fungi; Ascomycota; Saccharomycetes; Saccharomycodales; Saccharomycodaceae. The record is from RNAcentral.